RNAcentral lists this ribosomal RNA (254 nucleotides) under uncultured bacterium. Its description in RNAcentral is "partial 16S ribosomal RNA". It matches the Rfam family "Bacterial small subunit ribosomal RNA", at positions 524 to 776 of the family's 1533-position model. The record is from RNAcentral.
UACGAAGGGGGCUAGCGUUGCUCGGAAUUACUGGGCGUAAAGCGUGCGCAGGCGGUUUUGUAAGCCAGAUGUGAAAUCCCCGGGCUUAACCUGGGAACUGCAUUGGUGACUGGCAGGCUUUGAGUGUGGCAGAGGGAGGUAGAAUUCCACGUGUAGCAGUGAAAUGCGUAGAGAUGUGGAGGAAUACCGAUGGCGAAGGCAGCCUCCUGGGCCAACACUGACGCUCAUGCACGAAAGCGUGGGGAGCAAACAGG